RNAcentral lists this long non-coding RNA (280 nucleotides) under Urocitellus parryii (Arctic ground squirrel). RNAcentral describes it as "lncRNA (ENSUPAG00010016140.1)". Lineage: Eukaryota; Metazoa; Chordata; Mammalia; Rodentia; Sciuridae. The record is from RNAcentral.
CUGGGAAUUGUCAACAAAGGGACGAGAGACUCGCAACUCCGCACCGCACCACGCGCCCAGCAUCCAGCCGGCCCCGAGGGCGCUCCGGCCCGCCUGGAGACCCCUGCCCAGGCUGGAUCCCGGCGCGGGGGUCCAGUGAGGGUCAUAGGCAAAUGCUCCAAGAUUUAAGUUCCGCGGAAACCAGCGACAAAGCCAUUGAAGGAGGCGGUGAGAAUGUGGCCAGUAUACACACGGAGUUUCUCUGGCAAAGAAAGUCAGUGAUGGCAUCGCGACACACAGA